AUUAAAAAAAUUUGGCUUUCAAGAUUCUAUGCUCAAAUGGAUAAAAACUAUGUAUACAGAUAUUAAAAGCUCAGUGAUCAAUAAUGGGUGGAUAUCUGAACCCCUCAACAUUUUUCGAGGGAUUAGACAAGGAUGUCCGUGCAGUGCUUUAAUUUUUGUUAUUGCUGUCGAGAUAUUAGCAUGUAGAAUAAGACAAGACAAUAAUAUUAAAGGAUUUGAAAUCAAAAUAGAUGGGAAAACACAUUCUUUAAAAAUCAGUCAACUUGCAGAUGAC
Molecule: long non-coding RNA, 274 nt
Filed under: Mytilus galloprovincialis (Mediterranean mussel)
Lineage: Eukaryota; Metazoa; Mollusca; Bivalvia; Mytilida; Mytilidae
Source: RNAcentral